CUUAGCAUGUUUGGUUAACUUUAAACAGGUGUUUGCUUGGGCGUUUUUUAGGUAGAUGCUGAGUGAUUGCUUGAUUGCACACUUUCUGCUUUAUUCUGGUCUCUCAAUAGGAGUUAAAUUUUUCUGUUUUUCAAGUCACACAACUUAAGGUACUAUUCAAAACAAACAGUAUGGAAUGAGUUAUAUACUAAACUAUAAUAAUGCCUUCAAGUGCAUCUUUACAUUACUACAACACCAUGUUAUUAUGACGUCACAGAUUCAAAUCAGGAAAAUAAGCCUGAAAUCAGAAUGGUAAUAUAAGCACUCAUACAUGGUAUCUAACAAAAACGGUAACAAAAUUUACUUUUCAAAAGGCAAACUGUGAAAAGUAAGAGAUGAUACACUAAUAGUACACUUAACUGUCUAUAAGUUGUUCUGUAUAUCGUGCCAGUACAGCAUGUAAAAUUGUAAAUGAAAAAAAAAAAAAAAAUGUUUUCUGACAUAUUUCAAAUCAACACCCUUUAUGACAUCACUCGUGUGUCAUCUAGAAUUCUGUUCAGUUUCCUGCUUGUAAAUAUGACUUAUGAUAUUUCUGGAAGGGCACAUAAUACUGUUAUGUUUCACCAAAAAGUAUGAGAAAUGGUAACAGUGAAGCUUUUUGGAUUUGAUAAUACAGUACAGCCAUAGAGGAUAGAGAACAAGAGGAGGUCCAAGAAGGUUUUGACAUCUGGUUCAGAAUUGCAGUCCUGGUGGAGUUCAGGAUCUCUCCCUCCAGCAUCAGAUGAGAGAUCUGAUAAAGAUAAACGUGUGGAAAACGUGUCAUUUGAUGAAGGAGGCUCUGGGCAAACACGGGCGACAUGAUGAGCCUGUGAUCUGCCUGCAUGAGUGUCAGCAGGAGACGGGCCAGAGAUCUCAAUCCAGAGCCUCGCUCUCACUCUCCCAUUCUCUGACUCUCUCUUCUCCUGUACAACUGAUAGUGCUGUUGAACAUAAAAAUCAGACGCAUACAUUUAUUUGGAUGUUUUCUUCCAAGUUCCCUGAGCCAGAUCCAAUUAUGCUACAUAUUAUAAUAAAAGAGCAUUAAUCGAGAACAAUGUGUAAACAUACUUUUUGUUCACUGUUCCUUGCUGGUGAUCUUCCUAAACCUAAGGGCAGCAAAAUCAUUGACAAUAUUCAACAAACAGCUGAAAAGUCAUCUCUUCCAUGAGCCCUAAACUGCAUCCUGCUGAGAACAAAUAAAUAUAUAUAUAUAUAUAUAUAUAUAUAUAUAUAUAUAUAUAUAUAUAUAUACAUAUAUAUGAUUUUAAAUUCAGCAUGAAAUGGAAAUUUACCUUAUCUAUUUUCAUUAUCAGUUGCAUGAUAUUUAUCUUAUUAUGAAAGAUUCAUCCAUGCAUGUUUAAUUUUUUUAACCUUGUAAUUUUUAUUCAUAAUCUCAUAACUUGAUUUGGUGAUGUAUGACUUCUGUAAUUUUGUCUGUGAACUCUCCCCUUUCUUAUUUUAUAGUGCAAGCUCACAUUAAGAUCUGCCUCCGCAUGGGAGAAUUGAACCAUCCCUACAUUUCUCUUUAUUUUGACCCAGAUGUACUUCACGAUACAGAAGAAAAUAUCUGUCACUCUGCAACUUUAAGGAGGUAUUUGUUUCAUUUUCAGUUUUGGUUCAUGACGUGUUGCAUCAUCACUUGAUGUGAUAUGUGCAGUCUGGUGCCUGAAGCAAAACCAGCAAACAACUGAUCCAUACUAAAGCAUUUGCCUAAAACAGGAAGCACCAGCGGAUGAAGCAGGAAUCUCGAGCACAUUUUUGGACUACCUCUAUGAAAUAAACUGUGUGCUCAUAUAUUUGAGAAAGACAGCAAGGAGCUUUGUCAAUGGAGUGUGUGUGUGUGUGUGUGUGUGUGCACACUCACGUCACCCAACGUUGAAAGCCAAGCCCCUGGGC
Long non-coding RNA from Cyprinus carpio carpio, 1913 nucleotides. Lineage: Eukaryota; Metazoa; Chordata; Actinopteri; Cypriniformes; Cyprinidae. The record is from Ensembl.